RNAcentral lists this ribosomal RNA (425 nucleotides) under uncultured bacterium. RNAcentral describes it as "bacterial SSU rRNA". It matches the Rfam family "Bacterial small subunit ribosomal RNA", at positions 354 to 796 of the family's 1533-position model. The record is from RNAcentral.
GUGGGGAAUAUUGGACAAUGGGGGCAACCCUGAUCCAGCCAUGCCGCGUGAGUGAAGAAGGCCCUAGGGUUGUAAAACUCUUUCAGCGGGGACGAUGAUGACGGUACCCUACAAGAAAGCACCGGCUAACUCCGUGCCAGCAGCCGCGGUAAUACGGAGGGUGCAAGCGUUGUUCGGAAUUACUGGGCGUAAAGCGCGUGCAGGCGGCCGAUUAAGUCCGGUGUGAAAGCCCGGGGCUCACCCCCGGAAGUGCGCUGGAUACUGGUCGGCUAGAGUACGGGAGAGGGAAGCGGAAUUCCUGGUGUAGCGGUGAAAUGCGUAGAUAUCAGGAGGAACACCGGCGGCGAAGGCGGCUUCCUGGCCCUGUUCUGACGCUCAGGGGCGAAAGCGUGGGGAGCGAACCGGAUUAGAAACCCUAGUAGUCC